AAAGUCGUAACAAGGUUUCCGUAGGUGAACCUGCGGAAGGAUCAUUAAUACGUUAUCAACGUACUAAUAACCCAAUUGUGAAUUUUGUAUUCUUCCUUUUUGGAUUGGAGGAUUUCUGCGAGUGUUUCUUAAGCAUGGUGGACAGUCAAAUGUUCAUUAGAAGCUUUACAUCGGUCCUAGCAUACACUUCGGUGUUUUGUUAGCUCUUCCAAAAAGUGUAUUUUUUAUUUUCCAUGCUUUUUUCUAAACUUUAAACCCCAAGUACUAAUUUAAAGAACUAAAUCUGUUUUUUAUUGUUGAAAAACUUUAAAAAUCAAAACCGAAACUUAAGAACAACUCUUAACAACGGAUAUCUUGGUUCUC
This 363-nucleotide unclassified non-coding RNA is filed under the name fungal sp. RNAcentral describes it as "partial contains small subunit ribosomal RNA, internal transcribed spacer 1, and 5.8S ribosomal RNA". The stretch from base 1 to 47 matches the Rfam family "Eukaryotic small subunit ribosomal RNA", at positions 1785 to 1831 of the family's 1831-position model. Lineage: Eukaryota; Fungi. The record is from RNAcentral.